ACCUAAAAAAAUAAUAGCUCAGUUGGGAGAACGUUAGACUGAAGAUCUAAAGGUCCCUGGUUCGAUCCCAGGUUUCGGCA
Molecule: non-coding RNA, 80 nt
Organism: Schistocerca gregaria
Lineage: Eukaryota; Metazoa; Arthropoda; Insecta; Orthoptera; Acrididae
Source: the annotation of a RefSeq genome assembly